Molecule: long non-coding RNA, 729 nt
Organism: Panicum virgatum (switchgrass)
Lineage: Eukaryota; Viridiplantae; Streptophyta; Magnoliopsida; Poales; Poaceae
Exons: 5
Source: RefSeq, a predicted model, not a curated record
AUGCAAUACUUUCACCAUUGAACUUCUUCCUUUAGACUGAGCUAUUUACCUUUUGUUUGUUACUCCUGCACCAUACAGUCUCAAGAAGUAGCAAAAGCUUUUGGAGCAGUCUGCACACCAGAGUUUUUCUUGUUCAAAAAGGAUGGACGAAGGCCUUUCGAACUUUUCUACCAUGGACAGUUCGAUGAUUCAAGACCCAGUAACAAUGUGCCAGUAACAGGAAGGGAUCUAAGCCGCGCAAUUGACUGCGCACUCAGUGGCCAAGAAUUGCCUUUUGUACAAAAACCUAGUGUUGGCUGCAGCAUCAAAUGGCACCCAUGAAAAGCUCUAAUGUUGGUGUGCGUUGAGAAAUAUUCAGAUUUUUCACUUCUCAGAGCAAAGAUGUGGAACAUUCGAUUGAGCGCAGGUGCAUAGGAGCAGAUUUUUCAAGUCAGUAUCGAUUGCCUUGGGAACAGAAUUGUGUUGGGAGAAAUAUGUGAAUUUUGCAUCGUAAAGCAGAGCUGUCAGAGCAAAAAUAUAGCGCUAGUGCAGAGAAAGGCCCAUGUAGAGAAGUAUAUAUAUGUACUAAACACAAGUGCUUUACAUGUACUCAUGUGUAGGAGGUCGUUUUUUAUGUGGUAUAAUCCCAAAACUGACGUUACCCAUCGUUUGUACAAGUGCAUAUUAUCUGUCAUCAAAGCAGGGACAAAAUCGCUCGCUUAAUGGAUGCAAGUUCAUUAUGGUUUGGUA